Molecule: long non-coding RNA, 398 nt
Organism: Oncorhynchus tshawytscha (Chinook salmon)
Lineage: Eukaryota; Metazoa; Chordata; Actinopteri; Salmoniformes; Salmonidae
Source: Ensembl
CAGAUUACCAGUCUCUACAGUACUAGUCUGGGAGGAACCCACCAGUCCCCAGAUUACCAGUCUCUACAGUACUAGUCUAGGAGGUACCCACCAUCCCCAGAUUACCAGUCUCUACCGUACUAGUCUAGAGGAACCCACCAGUCCCCAGAUUACCAGUCUCUACAGUACUAGUCUAGGAGGUACCCACCAGUCCCCAGAUUACCAGUCUCUACAGUACUAGUCUGGGAGGAACCCACCAGUCUCUACAGUACUAGUCUAGGAGGUACCCACCAGUCCCCAGAUUACCAGUCUCUACAGUACUAGUCUAGAGGAACCCACCCGUCCCCAGAUUACCAGUUUCUACAGUACUAGUCUAGGAGGUACCCACUAGUCCUCGGAUGGGGCCACAGUCUCCUGAC